RNAcentral lists this ribosomal RNA (784 nucleotides) under Procambarus rathbunae. RNAcentral describes it as "eukaryotic LSU rRNA". The stretch from base 309 to 784 matches the Rfam family "Eukaryotic large subunit ribosomal RNA", at positions 665 to 926 of the family's 3401-position model. Lineage: Eukaryota; Metazoa; Arthropoda; Malacostraca; Decapoda; Cambaridae. The record is from RNAcentral.
GGGGACGUAACAAAGCGACCCAAGAAUGCUUGGGCGUGCCUCCACCCACGCCGGCGUCGGCGGGCGUAUUUCGCCUCACAGUAGGGCGCCGCGACCCGUUGCUUUUGGGGACGUCGAAGGCCCGGACGGAUUGGUACCCUACCGGCUGGGGAUGCGGCUUCGGCUUCUCCUCUUGUCCGGUGGGCGAAACCGCCGGUGUCCUGGCUGCCCUGCGACGGUCGUAGAGACGAGCCCCUCCCAUUCGUGGGGGGCGGCUCUCGCGGCGUGCAAAAAGGUCGGUGAUCCACCCGACCCGUCUUGAAACACGGACCAAGGAGUCUAACAUGUGUGCGAGUCAGUGGGCGCACUAAACCCAGAGGCGUAAUGAAAGUGACACGGGUUCGGCUGUCGCCUCGUGUGGCAGCCGGACUCAGGGCCGAUCCCUCACCGGUUGCCCUCGCCUCUCUCCCGCGUCUCGGUAAGCCGGGUGAGCUAUUUUCCCCGGCCGCUGCUGCGGGGCUCGGGGGGAGGCGGGGUGCGAUGGUGUCCGUCAAAAAGAGCCUGCUGUUGCAGGGGGGCGCAGGCCCGGGACUUGCCAGGACGCCGCGAGACUGUCACUUUGCUGUGAGGCUCCAGGGCCGAUCAGCGGGUCAUGCGUGCAGUCGGCAAGUACCAUGAGCAGACAUGUUGGGACCCGAAAGAUGGUGAACUAUGCCUGGCCAGGAUGAAGCCAGAGGAAACUCUGGUGGAGGUCCGUAGCGAUUCUGACGUGCAAAUCGAUCGUCGGAGCUGGGUAUAGGGGCGA